RNAcentral lists this long non-coding RNA (360 nucleotides) under Theobroma cacao (cacao). RNAcentral describes it as "long non-coding RNA (TCAC_LNC003615)". The record is from RNAcentral. Lineage: Eukaryota; Viridiplantae; Streptophyta; Magnoliopsida; Malvales; Malvaceae.
UUUGCACUUUCAUUCCAGGAUAGGUUAGCCUACUCUUUAUCUUUAUGCAGUAAACAGAGAAACUAUCCAUCCAUCUCUAAUGGAAAACAGAAUAUACUGGAUGUUUUACCAUGAAUAAUGCCAGAAUUUGUACACGGAUAAGCUUUGUCCAGGGGGACAGAAUGGUUUUCUUGAAAUUGCAGCAGAAAGAGUAAACAUUUUAUUAGAAGUCUGAACAUUUUAUUAGAAGUCUGAACUCAGUUCAGUACCCUUAAACACGAGACAGUCAAAUUUCUGAUUAGAGAUAACAAGGCGGAUUUGAGCUCAUGAGAGUCGAGAAUUUAUUCAUUUCUAUCUCGUGAAAACUACCACACUAAACGC